CCAUGCCGCGUGAGUGAAGAAGGCUUCGGGUUGUAAAGCUCUUUCAGACGGAAAGAAAACGCAUCGGUGAAUACCCGGUGUGGAUGACGGUACCGUAAGAAGAAGCACCGGCUAACUACGUGCCAGCAGCCGCGGUAAUACGUAGGGUGCGAGCGUUAAUCGGAAUUACUGGGCGUAAAGCGUGCGCAGGCGGUUAUGUAAGACAGAUGUGAAAUCCCCGGGCUCAACCUGGGAACUGCGUUUGUGACUGCAUAACUAGAGUACGGCAGAGGGAGGUGGAAUUCCGCGUGUAGCAGUGAAAUGCGUACAUAUGCGGAGGAACACCGAUGGCGAAGGCAGCCUCCUGGGCCAGUACUGACGCUCAUGCACGAAAGCGUGGGGAGCAAACAGGAUUAGAUCCCUGGUAGUCCACGCCCUAACGAUGUCACUAUUGUUCGGUGAGGAGACUC
Molecule: ribosomal RNA, 449 nt
Filed under: uncultured bacterium
Lineage: Bacteria
Description: bacterial SSU rRNA
Rfam family: Bacterial small subunit ribosomal RNA
Source: RNAcentral